CCUACGGGUGGCAGCAGUGAGGAAUAUUGGUCAAUGGGCGGAAGCCUGAACCAGCCAAGUAGCGUGCGGGAUGAAGGCCCUACGGGUCGUAAACCGCUUUUGCACGGGGAUAACACCCUCCACUUGUGGAGGUCUGCAGGUACCGUGCGAAUAAGGGCCGGCUAAUUCCGUGCCAGCAGCCGCGGUAAUACGGAAGGCCCGAGCGUUAUCCGGAUUCAUUGGGGUUAAAGGGAGCGUAGGCGGGCGUUCAAGUCAGCGGUAAAAUCGCGCGGCUCAACCGCGCCCCGCAGUUGAAACUGGGGAUCUAGAGUGUGCGAGAGGUAUGCGGAAUGCGUGGUGUAGCGGUGAAAUGCAUAGAUAUCACGCAGAACCCCGAUUGCGAAGGCAGCAUACCGGUGCACAACUGACGCUCAGGCACGAAAGCGUGGGUAUCGAACAGGAUUAGAUACCCGUGUAGUC
This 459-nucleotide ribosomal RNA is filed under the name uncultured bacterium. RNAcentral's name for it is "partial 16S ribosomal RNA". It matches the Rfam family "Bacterial small subunit ribosomal RNA", at positions 338 to 795 of the family's 1533-position model. The record is from RNAcentral.